Gadus macrocephalus (Pacific cod) is the source of this 895-nucleotide long non-coding RNA. RefSeq lists it as uncharacterized. NCBI's taxonomy places the organism in Eukaryota, Metazoa, Chordata, Actinopteri, Gadiformes, Gadidae. The record is from RefSeq and is a predicted model, not a curated record. The transcript is spliced from 5 exons.
AUUAGAUAAAACACAAUGGGAAUCAAGUCCCAUUGGAAUGAUGGCAAUUAAAUCCAGCCUAAAGUCAAUAAUCAGGUCAUAGAUUACAAUAUUGUAUAGGUGUCACCAGUUUCAAGGCCCACCCUCUUUGCCAAGCCCAUGGACCAAACUAGAGGAUAUAAUCAUUGAAUGGAAACACACUACCUUUGAAUAUAUAUUGUCACGCAUCAAGCACGGUUCCAUUCCCUGGUCUGACCAGAUUUCCUUCUAACUGGCAAUAUUUCAAUGGCUUUCUACAAGAUGGGUCAACCAUCGAGAUGGGUGUGGGGGGUCCUUCUGUGCCUUACCAUUUCUACAACUCCAGGUUCAUCUGCAGAUUCAGUAGACCCUGCCACAUUUGACACUACAACUCUGGCUUUGGCAAUCGAGAUAACCAAUGUGGGCUUCACUGCCUCCCUGCAGAAUUGUCACUCAGAGAACUCCAAGUGGAUGGAUGCAGAAGUGAAAAUGCUGCUUGACGGCGUUUACAAAUGUAACGAUUGCGCUACAAAACUAACCUACGGAGGUGUUGAGUGCAUAACCUACAGAUCCGGACUGAUAGCUAACGCGUCUAUCAUCUUCGAAACAGAUGCAAUCAACCCAUAUAUUGUCCGUGUACUCUUUGAGCAAAAUAUUGCAACAGCCCUACUCCAAACGAAACUCAUUGUGAACAAGGAAUACACAAGCAACUCGCUGCCGAUCUUAUUGGAAAAAGAUUUUUGCUAGAGAACAACUUAAACUCCUGAGCCAACUUCAACUAAAUGUUGACAGUUUUGAUUUUGUUAUAAUCAUAGUCACAGGAAAAGUCAGCCUCCAAUCAACUGUAUCAAUCAUUAAAACAAAGUCCUCAUCUUCAAUCAUUUUGUCUGGUUAUCCU